GCAAGUAAAAGUCGUAACAAGGUCUCCGUUGGUGAACCAGCGGAGGGAUCAUUACAGGACUCGCAAGACUCCUACAACCCUGUGAACUUAACUAUAAGCACGUUGCUUCGGCGGGUGUCUCGGAGGGGGUUCUCCCUCCCCGAGACGCUAAACCCGCCGGCAGCCUACUAUACUCUGUCUCUUUGCGUUGGCAUCUCGAGUACAAUCAAACAAGUUAAAACUUUCAACAACGGAUCUCUUGGUUCUG
Molecule: unclassified non-coding RNA, 247 nt
Filed under: plant metagenome
Description: partial contains small subunit ribosomal RNA, internal transcribed spacer 1, and 5.8S ribosomal RNA
Rfam family: Eukaryotic small subunit ribosomal RNA (bases 1-54)
Source: RNAcentral